AUUGAACGCUGGCGGCAGGCCUAACACAUGCAAGUCGAACGGUAACAGAAAGCAGCUUGCUGCUUUGCUGACGAGUGGCGGACGGGUGAGUAAUGUCUGGGAAACUGCCUGAUGGAGGGGGAUAACUACUGGAAACGGUAGCUAAUACCGCAUAACGUCGCGAGACCAAAGAGGGGGACCUUCGGGCCUCUUGCCAUCGGAUGUGCCCAGAUGGGAUUAGCUAGUAGGUGGGGUAACGGCUCACCUAGGCGACGAUCCCUAGCUGGUCUGAGAGGAUGACCAGCCACACUGGAACUGAGACACGGUCCAGACUCCUACGGGAGGCAGCAGUGGGGAAUAUUGCACAAUGGGCGCAAGCCUGAUGCAGCCAUGCCGCGUGUAUGAAGAAGGCCUUCGGGUUGUAAAGUACUUUCAGCGGGGAGGAAGGGAGUAAAGUUAAUACCUUUGCUCAUUGACGUUACCCGCAGAAGAAGCACCGGCUAACUCCGUG
Molecule: ribosomal RNA, 490 nt
Filed under: uncultured bacterium
Lineage: Bacteria
Description: partial 16S ribosomal RNA
Rfam family: Bacterial small subunit ribosomal RNA
Source: RNAcentral